UGGCAGCAGAUAAGUUGUACGUAACGAGUUAAUUUUUAUUUUACUUCCUUGUUGACAUAGAUGGAUUUUCUUUUCAUUGCCUUGAUAGGGAAUGAACAGAAGUCACUCCUGACAUAUGCAGGCUGGUUGCUUUGGUGAGUCCGAAAUGAACGGAUCUUCAAUAAUUCUUCCAUCUCUCUAUCACAUUUGAUAGGUAGACUCCCAGCUUAUAGUAUGAGUGACCAUGCAUCUAAUCACCUCUCACGGGCCCGUGUCCAUAUUGGAGUAGCCAAUUGCAAGAGGAUUUUUUCUAUUGUCAACCCACUUUAGUGUCUUGGCUACCUCCAUCCAAAAGGGUCAUUAAAAUCAAUUUUGAUGCAUCUGUUAC
This 367-nucleotide long non-coding RNA is filed under the name Elaeis guineensis (African oil palm). Its description in RNAcentral is "long non-coding RNA (EGUI_LNC015217)". The record is from RNAcentral. Lineage: Eukaryota; Viridiplantae; Streptophyta; Magnoliopsida; Arecales; Arecaceae.